AUGAACGCUGGCGGCGUGCCUAAUACAUGCAAGUCGAGCGGACAGACGGGGAGCUUGCUCCUCUGACGUUAGCGGCGGACGGGUGAGUAACACGUGGAUAACCUACCUAUAAGACUGGGAUAACUUCGGGAAACCGGAGCUAAUACCGGAUAAUAUAUUGAACCGCAUGGUUCAAUAGUGAAAGACGGUUUUGCUGUCACUUAUAGAUGGAUCCGCGCCGCAUUAGCUAGUUGGUAAGGUAACGGCUUACCAAGGCGACGAUGCGUAGCCGACCUGAGAGGGUGAUCGGCCACACUGGAACUGAGACACGGUCCAGACUCCUACGGGAGGCAGCAGUAGGGAAUCUUCCGCAAUGGGCGAAAGCCUGACGGAGCAACGCCGCGUGAGUGAUGAAGGUCUUCGGAUCGUAAAACUCUGUUAUUAGGGAAGAACAAAUGUGUAAGUAACUAUGCACGUCUUGACGGUACCUAAUCAGAAAGCCACGGCUAACUACGUG
RNAcentral lists this ribosomal RNA (496 nucleotides) under uncultured bacterium. RNAcentral describes it as "partial 16S ribosomal RNA". It matches the Rfam family "Bacterial small subunit ribosomal RNA", at positions 29 to 507 of the family's 1533-position model. The record is from RNAcentral.